UUGGAAAGAGUUGAGGAACAAUGGCUCC
This 28-nucleotide non-coding RNA is filed under the name Rattus norvegicus (Norway rat). The record is from RNAcentral. Lineage: Eukaryota; Metazoa; Chordata; Mammalia; Rodentia; Muridae.